This 465-nucleotide ribosomal RNA is filed under the name uncultured bacterium. RNAcentral describes it as "partial 16S ribosomal RNA". It matches the Rfam family "Bacterial small subunit ribosomal RNA", at positions 338 to 795 of the family's 1533-position model. The record is from RNAcentral.
CCUACGGGGGGCAGCAGUAGGGAAUCUUGCGCAAUGGGCGAAAGCCUGACGCAGCGACGCCGCGUGAGGGAUGAAGGUCUUCGGAUCGUAAACCUCUGUUAGCAGGGAAGAACGGUCCCUGUGCUAAUCAGCAGUGAAUUGAUGGUACCUGCAAAGCAAGCACCGGCUAACUACGUGCCAGCAGCCGCGGUAAUACGGAGGGUGCGAGCGUUAAUCGGAAUUACUGGGCGUAAAGCGCUCGCAGGCGGUAUAGUAAGUCAAGUGUGAAAGCCUCGGGCUCAACGGGAGAACUGCCUUUGAAACUGGUGAACUGGAGUGAGUGAGAGGAGAGUGGAAGGCCAGGGGUAGGAGUGAAAUGCGUAGAUAUCUGGAAGAACAUCAGUGGCGAAGGCGACUAUCUGGCCUACAACUGACGCUGAGGAGCGAAAGCGUGGGUAGCGAACAGGAUUAGAUACCCGAGUAGUC